This 437-nucleotide ribosomal RNA is filed under the name uncultured Fusibacter sp. Its description in RNAcentral is "bacterial SSU rRNA". It matches the Rfam family "Bacterial small subunit ribosomal RNA", at positions 939 to 1382 of the family's 1533-position model. Lineage: Bacteria; Bacillati; Bacillota; Clostridia; Eubacteriales; Fusibacteraceae. The record is from RNAcentral.
AUGUUGUUUAAUUCGAUGAUACGCGAAGAACUUACCAGGUCUUGACAUCCCCGCGAUGCUUAGAGAUAAAGCGGAGGUAUUCGGGGAGACAGGUGGUGCAUGGUUGUCGUCAGCUCGUGUCGUGAGAUGUUGGGUUAAGUCCCGCAACGAGCGCAACCCUUGUGUUUAGUUGCAAACAGGUCAAGCUGUGCACUCUAGACAGACUGCCGUGGACAACACGGAGGAAGGUGGGGAUGACGUCAAAUCAUCAUGCCCCUUAUGAUCUGGGCUACACACGUGCUACAAUGGCCGGUACAACGGGCAGCGAAGGAGCGAUCCGGAGCGAAUCCUAAAAAGCCGGUCCCAGUUCGGAUUGCAGGCUGAAACUCGCCUACAUGAAGUUGGAGUUGCUAGUAAUCGCGAAUCAGAAUGUCGCGGUGAAUGCGUUCCCGGGCCUU